Molecule: unclassified non-coding RNA, 474 nt
Filed under: Hevea brasiliensis (rubber tree)
Lineage: Eukaryota; Viridiplantae; Streptophyta; Magnoliopsida; Malpighiales; Euphorbiaceae
Source: RNAcentral
GGAAGUUGUCUAUAAAUUUGCUUCAUUCCUUCAAUUUUCAAGAGAAAGACAAGGGUUCGUGAAGAAAUAUCAUUGAAAACAAUAUCUGAAAAAAAAAUGCUCUGUUGGAUUAGAGCUGGCAGGAUCAUGUUGUGUCCAUUUUCUCUAUGUACAUCAUUUUCAAAUGUAAGCAAGCUUCAAAUUGCGAACUCAAUAGUUCCUAGGGAAAUCACUUUUAUCUUUGUUUGGACAAUCAUGGGUGUCGUUCUUGCUGCUGAGAUUUUCAGAAGAGAGAUACGAUCCUUGUGAUCUGGUGCUUUACAUGUAAGGGAGUUUGAAGGAGGCUCAUCCUCGUUUUUUCCCCUGUAAUUCUGCAAUGAAGUUGUGGUUGGAGAUGCUUUAACAAUUUUCCGUUUGGUUCAUGCCAAUAGGGUAAAACAGCUGAUGUGCGUUUGGAAUGUCGGAGAAUUCAGGUGGAGCAGAUUUUAACAGAAG